RNAcentral lists this ribosomal RNA (296 nucleotides) under uncultured Hydrogenophaga sp. RNAcentral's name for it is "partial 16S ribosomal RNA". It matches the Rfam family "Bacterial small subunit ribosomal RNA", at positions 1078 to 1382 of the family's 1533-position model. The record is from RNAcentral. Lineage: Bacteria; Pseudomonadati; Pseudomonadota; Betaproteobacteria; Burkholderiales; Comamonadaceae.
GGUUAAGUCCCGCAACGAGCGCAACCCUUGCCAUCAGUUGCUACGAAAGGGCACUCUGAUGGGACUGCCGGUGACAAACCGGAGGAAGGUGGGAUGACGUCAAGUCCUCAUGGCCCUUAUAGGUGGGCUACACACGUCAUACAAUGGCCGGUACAAAGGGCAGCCAACCCGCGAGGGGGAGCCAAUCCCAUAAAGCCGGUCGUAGUCCGGAUCGCAGUCUGCAACUCGACUGCGUGAAGUCGGAAUCGCUAGUAAUCGUGGAUCAGCAUGUCACGGUGAAUACGUUCCCGGGUCUU